AAGUGCGAUCGUAACUUAGGA
This 21-nucleotide non-coding RNA is filed under the name Arabidopsis thaliana (thale cress). Lineage: Eukaryota; Viridiplantae; Streptophyta; Magnoliopsida; Brassicales; Brassicaceae. The record is from RNAcentral.